Molecule: ribosomal RNA, 436 nt
Filed under: uncultured Oscillospiraceae bacterium
Lineage: Bacteria; Bacillati; Bacillota; Clostridia; Eubacteriales; Oscillospiraceae
Description: bacterial SSU rRNA
Rfam family: Bacterial small subunit ribosomal RNA
Source: RNAcentral
ACGGAAGGCAGCAGUGGGGAAUAUUGGGCACUGGGCGCAAGCCUGACCCAGCGACGCCGCGUGAGGGAAGAAGGUCUUCGGAUUGUAAACCUCUUUCAGCAGGGAAGACCAAGAGACGGUACCUGCAGAAGAAGUCACGGCUAACUACGUGCCAGCAGCCGCGGUAAUACGUAGGUGGCGAGCGUUAUCCGGAAUUACUGGGUGUAAAGGGUGUGUAGGCGGAGAAGCAAGUCAGGCGUGAAACUUAUGGGCUCAACCCAUAAACUGCGCUUGAAACUGUUUCACUUGAGAGUGGGAGAGGUUAACGGAAUUCCUAGUGUAGUAGUGAAAUGCGUAGAUAUCAGGAGGAACACAGGUGGCGAAGGCGGUUAACUGGACCACAACUGACGCUGGGACACGAAAGCGUGGGGAGCAAACAGGAUGAGAUACACUGGUA